UAAAAUCAAGGCUUUUCCAUCUUCUCUCUCCUCCUGCAAACGCUCUCUUCUCUCUCCUUCUCCUCUGCUAACGUUCUUUUCUUUUCAUAACGGUAACAAAACAAAGCAGACCAUUUUCUCCGGCAACUCACCGGUGUUAUAGAGCAGCCAGCUCCUGCCCAAGUAAGUAUUCCCCUCUCUCUCUGCUCGGAACACUGUUCCGGCAAAGAUCCGUCAACAGUGGUCUUUCACGGUGGUCUUUCUUCGACACCUCCUACACCAUCGAGACACAUAACGCCUGGCGCACAACCCCGGCAAAUUUCGUCGCCGAAAUCUGCUUCACGCACUGCCGCUGAACAGUCACGCGCUGCCGCUGACUUCCACGCGCCACGCGCGUGAGCCCAGUUCCGGUGACUUUUUUCACCGGCUCCUUUUGGACAGUUUUUUCCCCCCACAAUUCCGACCAAGUUGGUACUCCCGAAAUAUUCCCCUGGUCACUUUCAUUUUACACUGUACACUUAGCCACCUCAUUUUUCUUACUGCUUUUCCACAGCAGAUCUUGGUGCUGCCCAGAGGUCUGGAAUUUUUGUUUCCGCCUGAAAUUUUUUUGGCAACCGAAGCACUUUUUCUUUUAUUCUCUCCUCUGCUUUUGUGGGUGUGUUCUGUUUUCUUGGACAGGUGCUUAUUUCACCGGUGAAGAUCUCCGGCAACUCACGUUCAGACUCGCGGCAGGACGCAACAGAGCUGCACGUUCUGCUAAGCUUCAGGAAAACUUGGGCGCCUCAAAGCACACUUUCAGGUUUUUCUAUCGGGAGUUGGUACCUCCCGCUCUCUUGUUUACAUUGUGCACCUUUUUACGUAUUUUAGCUAGCAUAUCGAGUUAGUUGUUAUCUAGUUUGCUACAUUUGCAUUUUUCGCUAUAGUGCGUGUGUGUGUGCCACUGUACCCCAUAUCGGUUGGUGGGAUAGUGGCCGCGGCGGGGGAUGAUAGCGUAAGGUCAUG
RNAcentral lists this long non-coding RNA (981 nucleotides) under Nicotiana benthamiana. RNAcentral's name for it is "long non-coding RNA (NBEN_LNC018301)". The record is from RNAcentral. Lineage: Eukaryota; Viridiplantae; Streptophyta; Magnoliopsida; Solanales; Solanaceae.